Molecule: non-coding RNA, 105 nt
Organism: Mycena rosella
Lineage: Eukaryota; Fungi; Basidiomycota; Agaricomycetes; Agaricales; Mycenaceae
Source: the annotation of a GenBank genome assembly
GCCUAGAUCUUGGCUAAGUGGUUUACAGCGCGGCACUUGUAUAAAGAGCUCUCGUGAGAGCUAAUAGACAUGCCGAGAUCACUCGUUCAACUCGGGUAGUGGGCA